This 492-nucleotide ribosomal RNA is filed under the name uncultured bacterium. RNAcentral's name for it is "partial 16S ribosomal RNA". It matches the Rfam family "Bacterial small subunit ribosomal RNA", at positions 29 to 507 of the family's 1533-position model. The record is from RNAcentral.
AGUGAACGCUGGCGGUAGGCCUAACACAUGCAAGUCGAACGGCAGCACAGUAAGAGCUUGCUCUUACGGGUGGCGAGUGGCGGACGAGUGAGGAAUACAUCGGAAUCUACUUUUUCGUGGGGGAUAACGUAGGGAAACUUACGCUAAUACCGCAUACGACCUACGGGUGAAAGCAGGGGAUCUUCGGACCUUGCGCGAUUGAAUGAGCCGAUGUCGGAUUAGCUAGUUGGCGGGGUAAAGGCCCACCAAGGCGACGAUCCGUAGCUGGUCUGAGAGGAUGAUCAGCAACACUGGAACUGAGACACGGUCCAGACUCCUACGGGAGGCACCAGUGGGGAAUAUUGGACAAUGGGCGCAAGCCUGAUCCAGCCAUACCGCGUGGGUGAAGAAGGCCUUCGGGUUGUAAAGCCCUUUUGUUGGGAAAGAAAAGCAGCAGGUUAAUACCCCGCUGUUCUGACGGUACCCAAAGAAUAAGCACCGGCUAACUUCGUG